UCGUGAAGCUCUCCACCGCCUUACGGUACCCUUCGUCCUCAGGGACCGCCUGAAUCUCCUUUAGGGUUUUGGUGUACAGAUUGAUCAAUACCUCCCUCGCGUUGGGGACCACAUCCAGACCCACGAUCCCCGUUGUCUGCUUCACUUUAGCCAACAAUGGCCGCCCGAUCACCCGCAGAAACAUUGCUAAGGUGAAACUCUGGAUCAAUACUUCCGAACGUUUUCGAUCUUCUUCUCGGGUGCUCUCUCACUGCGUUUUUCCAGUAUGGAGAGAAAUGGGGACUGCUGGUUCAGUUGUUAUUCCC
RNAcentral lists this unclassified non-coding RNA (305 nucleotides) under Hevea brasiliensis (rubber tree). Lineage: Eukaryota; Viridiplantae; Streptophyta; Magnoliopsida; Malpighiales; Euphorbiaceae. The record is from RNAcentral.